AGUGGAUGGGGAGCAACCUAGUUGUGCGUGUGUAAAGGUAGUGCCAAGAAAAGCGAUGAUCAUGUUGAAAAUCAAUUCCCGGUACCCGAAACCGACACAGGUGGGCAAGUAGAGAAUACUAAGGGGCGCGAGGUAACUCUCUCCAAGGAACUCGGCAAAAUGACCCCGUAACUUAGGGAGAAGGGGUGCCACCGAGAGGUGGUCGCAGUGAAGAGGCCCAGGCGACUGUUUAGCAAAAACAUAGGUCUCUGCAAACUCGAAAGAGGAGGUAUAGGGGCUGACGCCUGCCCAGUGCCGGAAGGUUAAAGAAGUUGGUCAGUCUUAGGAUGAAGCUAGCGACUGAAGCCCCGGUGAACGGCGGCCGUAACUAUAACGGUCCUAAGGUAGCGAAAUUCCUUGUCGGGUAAGUUCCGACCCGCACGAAAGGCGUAACGAUCUGGGCGCUGUCUCGGAGAGAGGCUCGGCGAAAUAGGAUUGUCUGUGAAGAUACGGACUACCUGCAUUUGGACAGAAAGACCCUAUGAAGCUUUACUAUAGCUUGGAAUUGUGUUCGGGCUUCCUGUGCGCAGGAUAGGUGGGAGGCGUAGAAGGUAUUCUUGUGGGGAUACUGGAGCCAACGGUGAGAUACCACUCUCAGGAGGCUAGAAUUCUAACUUAAUUAAGGACAGUUUCAGGUGGGUAGUUUGACUGGGGCGGUCGCCUCCAAAAAGGUAACGGAGGCGUACAAAGGUUCCCUCAGACUGGUUGGAAAUCAGUCGAAGAGUGCAAAGGCAGAAGGGAGCUUGACUGCGAGAAGUACAGUUCGAGCAGGGUGGAAACACGGUCUUAGUGAUCCGACGGUGCUGUGUGGAAGGGCCGUCGCUCAACGGAUAAAAGUUACUCUAGGAUAACAGGCUGAUCUCCCCCAAGAGUUCACAUCGACGGGGAGGUUUGGCACCUCGAUGUCGGCUCAUCGCAACCUGGGGCGGAAGUACGUCCCAAGGGUUGGGCUGUUCGCCCAUUAAAGCGGUACGUGAGCUGGGUUCAGAACGUCGUGAGACAGUUCGGUCCAUAUCCGAUGUAGGCGUGAGAAUAUUGAGAGGAGCCUUCCUUAGUACGUGAGGACCGGGAAGGACGCACCGCUGGUGUACCUGUUAUGAUGCCAAUUGUAAACGCAGGGUAGCCAAGUGCGGAGAGGAUAACCGCUGAAAGCAUCUAAGUGGGAAGCCCACCUCAAGAUGAGUAUUCUGGUGUAAGGUCACGGGAAGACGACCCGUAAAUAGGCACGAGGUGGAAGUGCAGAGAUGUAUGAAGCCGAAGUGUACUAAUAGACCGUCGGCUUGACC
This 1325-nucleotide ribosomal RNA is filed under the name metagenome. RNAcentral's name for it is "bacterial LSU rRNA". It matches the Rfam family "Bacterial large subunit ribosomal RNA", at positions 1561 to 2925 of the family's 2925-position model. The record is from RNAcentral.